Non-coding RNA from Chlorocebus sabaeus (green monkey), 292 nucleotides. The record is from Rfam. NCBI's taxonomy places the organism in Eukaryota, Metazoa, Chordata, Mammalia, Primates, Cercopithecidae.
AGGUGAUCUGGCUUUGAUCUGCCACUCGUUUGUCAGCAGAGUUGGUUAGCUCACUUGGCUAGUUGAGAAGGUGGCCCUUCCUCCAUGUGUGGUCUUCCUCAAGCCCCAUGCUAAGGCAAAGAAGUUGACCUAAGCUCUGUCUUCCAUAGGUCAAAGGUACCUGAAUAGUUGAGUUAUUUCAAUAGAAACUCUGAAUAUGGAAUUACAGUUUGAAGCAGCCAAAAUAUCCAUUUUUAUAGCUGGGAAGGGACUCUAACAGGCAGAACGUGUUGUCAUGGAGAAGCCAGUGUUU